GCCAGCAUGAUGUAGUGGUUUAAAUAUUGGACUAUGACUCUGGAGACCAGGGUUUGAAUCCCUGCUUAGCCA
This 72-nucleotide transfer RNA is filed under the name Phrynosoma platyrhinos (Desert horned lizard). RNAcentral's name for it is "tRNA-OTHER". Lineage: Eukaryota; Metazoa; Chordata; Lepidosauria; Squamata; Phrynosomatidae. The record is from RNAcentral.